UACGGAGGGGGCAAGCGUUGUUCGGAAUCAUUGGGCGUAAAGGGCGCGUAGGCGGUCGAUCAAGUCGGGUGUGAAAUCCCUCGGCUCAACCGAGGAAUUGCAUUCGAUACUGAUUGGCUAGAGUUCGAGAGGGGGUAGCGGAAUUCCCAGUGUAGCGGUGAAAUGCGUAGAUAUUGGGAAGAACACCGGUGGCGAAGGCGGCUACCUGGAUCGAUACUGACGCUGAGGCGCGAAAGCCAGGGGAGCGAAUGGG
This 253-nucleotide ribosomal RNA is filed under the name uncultured bacterium. RNAcentral describes it as "partial 16S ribosomal RNA". It matches the Rfam family "Bacterial small subunit ribosomal RNA", at positions 524 to 776 of the family's 1533-position model. The record is from RNAcentral.